UUUGCAUGCCAUAACAGCAAUUUGUGAAUGAGAGUAUAUAUAUAUACAUACGCUCUCAUUCACAAAUUGCUGUUAUGGCAUGCAAA
Pelobates cultripes (western spadefoot toad) is the source of this 86-nucleotide non-coding RNA. NCBI's taxonomy places the organism in Eukaryota, Metazoa, Chordata, Amphibia, Anura, Pelobatidae. The record is from the annotation of a GenBank genome assembly.